CCUACGGGAGGCAGCAGUGAGGAAUAUUGGUCAAUGGGCGCGAGCCUGAACCAGCCAAGUAGCGUGAAGGAUGACUGCCCUACGGGUUGUAAACUUCUUUUAUAAAGGAAUAAAGUGAGGCACGUGUGCCUUUUUGUAUGUACUUUAUGAAUAAGGAUCGGCUAACUCCGUGCCAGCAGCCGCGGUAAUACGGAGGAUCCGAGCGUUAUCCGGAUUUAUUGGGUUUAAAGGGAGCGUAGAUGGGUUGUUAAGUCAGUUGUGAAAGUUUGCGGCUCAACCGUAAAAUUGCAAUUGAUACUGGCAGUUGUUAGUACAGUUUAGGGAAGCGGAAUUCCGGGGUGAGCCGGUAAAUGCUUAGAUAAUACGAAGAACUCCGAUUGCGAAGGCAGCUUACUAAACUGCCACUGACAUUGAUGCUCGAAAGUGUGGGUAUCAAACAGGAUUAGAUACCCCAGUAGUC
This 460-nucleotide ribosomal RNA is filed under the name uncultured bacterium. RNAcentral's name for it is "partial 16S ribosomal RNA". It matches the Rfam family "Bacterial small subunit ribosomal RNA", at positions 338 to 795 of the family's 1533-position model. The record is from RNAcentral.